Molecule: ribosomal RNA, 465 nt
Filed under: uncultured bacterium
Lineage: Bacteria
Description: partial 16S ribosomal RNA
Rfam family: Bacterial small subunit ribosomal RNA
Source: RNAcentral
GAUGAACGCUGGCGGCGUGCUUAACACAUGCAAGUCGAACGGAAAGGCCCAAGCUUGCUUGGGUACUCGAGUGGCGAACGGGUGAGUAACACGUGGGUGAUCUGCCCUGCACUUCGGGAUAAGCCUGGGAAACUGGGUCUAAUACCGGAUAGGACCACAUUGUGGAUGGUGUGGUGGAAAGUUUUUCGGUGUGGGAUGAGCUCGCGGCCUAUCAGCUUGUUGGUGGGGUAAUGGCCUACCAAGGCGUCGACGGGUAGCCGGCCUGAGAGGGUGUACGGCCACAUUGGGACUGAGAUCCGGCCCAGACUCCUACGGGAGGCAGCAGUGGGGAAUAUUGCACAAUGGGCGCAAGCCUGAUGCAGCGACGCCGCGUGGGGGAUGACGGCCUUCGGGUUGUAAACUCCUUUCGCUAGGGACGAAGCGCAAGUGACGGUACCUGGAGAAGAAGCACCGGCUAACUACGUG